GAGAAGAACAAAAUAUAAUUACAUGUAUACUGACUGACCUUAAAAACGCAACACUCAUGUUGUUGUUUUUUUUUUACAAAAUCAUGUUUGAUUCAGUUUAAUUUCUCAUACAACUACUAUUCAUGCUAACCAUGCUUCUCUCUCUUUAGAAAAAAUCAAAAUCUGACUUACCUGUGGUUAUUGAACUAACCGGAUUUUUGAAGCUGAACGAAUUUCUUUAAGCGAAAUUUGGAACCCUUAAAAGAUUAUGUCAGUUGUUAUAGCUUCGUAAAACAAUUCUUUCUUUCCUUGGCCACACAUAAAUUAGUUUAAAAUGUUUCAUGUCCAUCCUGACAAGACUGAGGAAUAAAAGACCAAAUCUACCCAUACGAAUACUGCAAACAGAAAACCGUGAACGUGCUGCAAACAUACAGUUUUACUUCAGAAACUCAUCUUACUGUUCUUCCGACAACGAUACAGGUAGACGGGAUUUGUUGCUGACCAUCAAUGACCAGAUCAACAUGUAGUGACAAUGCAACGUCAAUAGAAUUUGAUAACGCAACGUCAUUUGCGAGACACGUUUACGGCCGCAACAUCAACUGCUAAUCAAAUUGCCGAAUGCCAUUGAGCACAGAUCCAUGCAAUAAAUGUUUCCCAUAAAAUGUAAUGCCAAUGAAUCGGCUGAAGAAAAACAUUUGAAGCCCGAAAGUUUCAUCCGCAUAAUUGCCAAAACCCAUUGUAAAAGGUGGGAAAACAAAGGAGAAAUCAGAAGGUGUAAAACAGAACCCCAAACAUGUUAAACAGAAUUGGUUGACCUUUCUGGCAAUCAUUUCGGCGUUUGUUACAGGCAGUUAUUGCUUUCGUCGGUGACACAUUCAUUCAAAAAUUUAAAAAGAAUAAUUUAGUGUUGCGUUAUUAAAGUCGGUCAGUAUAUAUGUAUCUCACCUUUCAACCAUUAUAGAUGUUUCAAAAAUAUUUAUACUUGUUGAAAUUUUAAUAGUAUAAUGAUUUCUAUCAAUUCAUCUGUACAGGGAUUUUUUUCAUUGUAUUGUGUAAGAGACUAUCGUCUUGAGAAUGCAUGCAAUAUUUGCAACUAGACGUUAAGCAAUCAAAGAAUUUAUAUAAGUUAGAGACUACAUGUGAAUUCAAAAUUAUAUGUUAAGUAAAACAUAAGUCUAAAUUAAUUUUUGAUCUAUCUAUUAAUUUGUUAUAGUCAACUAAGAUUGAUUGAUUGGUAUUUAACGCCUCUUUCAAUCAACACUAGUGCGCUAAUUUAUGGCUGGCGGUCAGUUUUUAUAGGCCGAGGAAGCUAGGGUGCCCGGAGAGAACCUUCGACCAUCGGUAGGAUAUCUGACAAUCAUAAUAGAAAGGCAACCGAAUUUAUAAUAGAAUUUCUAAACACUCUACUCUUGUGUGCCAUAUGUCUACAAAAAAUUAUGUAUGAAAUAUGGAUAAGUUGUAAUCAUGCAAUAUUUUUUAUUAAAUCUUUAUUUAUUUAUUUUUAUGUAAGGGGCAUCAGAUGUGUGCCACUUUUAUGUGCUUUAGUUUUUAUUUCAUAUUUCAUAGCUAAGUUAGUCUUAUAAAGAGCCACGUUGAAGACCAACACGGAAAACAAAUUAUUAUAAUGUGCGCACAAAAUAUUAAAUUGUGCGCAUAAUAUAUUAUAAAGUGCACACACACUAAUAUAUUGUUUAGACACAAUAUUAUAUAUUGUGAUCCCAAUAUAGUAAUUGUGCGCACACUUUAUACUUUUUUCGAGCCUUCACUUUUGUCGAAGCGAGAUAUAGCGAUCCUACAUUCCAUCGUCGGCGGCGUCCACAAAUAUUCACUCUGUGGUUAAAGUUUUUUGAAAUUUUAAUUACUUUCUUCAACUAUCCUGAAUUUCUACCAAACUUGGACAGAAGCCUGUUCAUGAUCAGAAGAUGGUAUCCAGAAGUAAAUUUUGUAAAAAUAUUUUUCCGGUUUUUCCAUAUGUUACUUGAUUAUGUACGUUGUUUUCUUCCAGGUAACAUUACAUACAGCCUGCAGUUAAAGUUCCUGAAACAUUUAUUAGUUUCAUAAAGUAGGCGAUACACUGGGUUCCGCGUAACACUUACAUUUUAAUCUGUAUAGGCCCCAACGUGGCUUCAUAGUCUAAUUCAUUUGUGUUAAGCUUCACAGUUGUAGAACAGUGUAAAUAUCAUUUCAUCAUUCUUUUGCUACGGUCAAAUAUUAUUUUUGUUAUUAUACAUGUACGUUUUAGUCAUGUAUAAACUUAUGAUCUAGUUUGAUUUUUAAAAUAUCAAAUUGUUAAAUUUGUUAAAUUCCUUUGUACAGUAACAAUAUUCUUGUGAUGCCAUCUCCGAAACAAUGGCUGUUUUCUUUGCUACUAGGUCUUUCAAAUCAAGCAUGGCGUAGUUUAUUGACGAUAUCGAGGCUGUAUAUGGCAUAAGGUUGUCAAUGUUGUCUUACAAAAAAAUAAAUGACUGAAGACUACACCUUGAUUUUUUAAUUUCUCUUAUUGUAAAUAUACCUUCUUUUUGUUAAUUUUUCUGCUUCUUUUAUCAUGUUUAUCGUACAAUAAUAUUUAUUUAUAAUCAUGAAGUUAUUGUUAUAUGUUUUAAAAAUAAAGAUAAAUAUAUUUUAUUAAAUAUAAACAAACAUUAUGUUUAUGAGAAAGAAAGCAUACAAGUGUUCAUGGCUUGUAAUGUGAAGACAUUAAAACAUAUUAGUUGAUUGUUGUCGUUUGUUUUGUCCAGUAUUGUCCAGUGGCAUAUAUUUCAUGAAUUUCAUGGUCGCGAACUUGAUAUAACGUUACUGAAAACAGGUAUGUUUUAUAUGGCUAAAAAGUUAUUUCAGAAAUAGAAAAAAAACAAUGAUUAUCGUGCCAACGAUCGAGAAUGAAGGCCCAGUCGGGGUAAAAUAUUCGCAAUUAAGGGUUGUCCAUUAAUUUUUUUGAAAGAGGACUGAGGAAGAGACGUUGCGGUUUAGAAAAUGAAAUUUGAUACAUUUUAUAUGUUACAUUUUUUUCUGCAUGUGGUAUGUACAUGUAGAUAAGAACAGGUCUGGAUCUGUUACCCUUUUAGAGCACAUGAGAGGUUUUAUGUUGGAUCCGUGUUGCUCAGCAUUUAGUUUUAUAUGUUUCCUGUAGACCAUUCUUUUUUUUACGUUGUUAGUUUGAGGUAUUCGAUUUAUGAGCUAAAUAUCUGUUCGGUGUCUCUUGUAUUUAUUCCCUUUUGAUUUGUGUCAUGUUAUGUCAAACAAAUAAAAACACGUUGUUUGUAAAUUAAAAUCUUAAAUAAAAUCUAAAAGUACACACUUCGAUUAUCAUCAGGGUACAUACAUGUAGCAUACGUGUAUGAUACAUGGUUUCAUGUAGGAUGUGCCAAGAAAAUCGCAUUAAAAUGCGGACGGCCUAAUCUCCCAAUAUGACUGUACUGCACCUAUUCAAACUUUUAACUUUUAAUUAGUUCUUAAAAAAGUUGGCGAAAUCUCCCGGCACGCCUGUACUUUAUACUUUUUCAAAAUGUUAAUCAAUUCUUAUAAUGAAUAACACUUGUAUAUUUAGGGAGUAUAACUUGCAGAUUUAGAUUAAAGUCAACAAUUUUAACUUUUGGCUAUGUAUGAAUAAAUUUUUUGAAUACUUAUUACUAUUUCAAAUAUUCUGACACUAUGUUUCAACUGGGAAGUCGACAUGUUAAACCCAUUUCGAAUAAAUAUAAAAUAUAAUUACUUUUUGCAAAGUCCUUUAUUAUCAAUUACGUUCGAAAAGAUCAACUUCGUUUAAAGAAAGACAUCAUGCAUAAAGUAUUACGCAAUUUUAAAAAUACUAAAUUAUAUAAUUUCUGACGUAAAUGGUAUAACCAUUUGUUGUUAUUUGUUUAUGUGCCAGAAAGAAAGUGAAUAUUUAUUACAGCACAUUUAUAUGAAUGAUUUUUUUAGAUGAAUCCAAUUUAAGAUAUAUGAAGUAUAUAUUAGGUGUAAACAAAAAGUCUUCUAACCUAGCUGUGCUAGGAGAGCUUGGUAGAUUCCCUUUAAAUUAUAUUUUUCAGUUGUAUUAUCAAUGCUAAAAUAUUGGUUUAGAAUAAAGAAUAUGAAAGAUGGUUUACUGUAUGAUACCUAUAUGUGUAACAAAAACAUGUUUAAUAAUAAUAUUGAAUGCUGGUAUUCAUCCAUACAUUUCAUUUUUAAAAAGCUGAAUAUUCAUAAUUUAGAGGUGAAGCUCAACUUUUUUAUCAAGUCAGUUAAUCAAAAACUUUGUAAUAGUUUUGUAAAAUUUUGGAACACAAAAAGAACAGAUACACAGAGUAGUAAACUAGAUACUUAUUUCAAACUUAAAACUUGUUUUUCGAAAGAAAUGUAUCUAUCUUUAACAAUUUUCAAGUGAGAAGUGCCAUGUGUAAAAUUAGAAUCAGUGCACAUGAUCUCAAAAUAGAACGAGACAGGUAUAAAACAUUAUAUAUAGAAAGAGAUCAAAGGCUUUGUAAGAAAUGUACUCUAAAUCUGGUAGAAGAUGAAAAACAUUUUAUAACUACAUGUAGUUGUCCAGCAUACAAAAAUAAUAAGGAGAUAUUUUUCGAGGAGAUAAACUGUAUUUGUCCUAAUUUUAUACAUCUUUCAAAUGAGGCAAAAUUUGUUUGGUUAUUUACUAAUGAAAAGUCUGUACUUAAAUAUUUAGGGAGCUAUAUUAUUACAUGUCUAGAUGUUAGACGAAAUGAGAAUUAAUGUAUGUAAUAACAAUGAUAAUUGUAAUAAUUUUAUGGUUCUGAUCCUGCCUGGAAUUAAAUGUAUAUGAUUUUUAUAGUAUGAAGAUAAGGGAGCUACCAUUUGAUUUUUAUGGGGGGGG
RNAcentral lists this long non-coding RNA (4804 nucleotides) under Mytilus galloprovincialis (Mediterranean mussel). The record is from RNAcentral. Lineage: Eukaryota; Metazoa; Mollusca; Bivalvia; Mytilida; Mytilidae.